Molecule: ribosomal RNA, 378 nt
Filed under: uncultured cyanobacterium
Lineage: Bacteria; Bacillati; Cyanobacteriota
Description: bacterial SSU rRNA
Rfam family: Bacterial small subunit ribosomal RNA
Source: RNAcentral
CGAAAGCCUGACGGAGCAACGCCGCGUGGGGGAGGAAGGCCCUUGGGUUGUAAACCCCUUUUCUCAGGGAAGAAACCUGACGGUACCUGAGGAAAAAGCCUCGGCUAACUCCGUGCCAGCAGCCGCGGUAAUACGGAGGAGGCAAGCGUUAUCCGGAAUUAUUGGGCGUAAAGCGUCCGCAGGGGGCGCAUCAAGUCUGCUGUUAAAGGUCGGAGCUAAACUCCGGUAGAGCAGUGGAAACUGGUGCGCUAGAGGGCGACAGGGGUAGAGGGAAUUCCCAGUGUAGCGGUGAAAUGCGUAGAGAUUGGGAAGAACACCGGUGGCGAAAGCGCUCUACUGGGUCGCACCUGACCCUCAGGGACGAAAGCUAAGGUAGCG